ACGGCUAUGGCGGAGAGGUUCCACCCGUUCCCAUCCCGAACACGGUAGUUAAGCUCUCCUGCGCCGAUGAUAUUGCAAGGGGGACUUUGUAAGAAAGCAAGUCGUUGCCG
RNAcentral lists this ribosomal RNA (110 nucleotides) under Syntrophorhabdaceae bacterium PtaU1.Bin034. The record is from RNAcentral. Lineage: Bacteria; Pseudomonadati; Thermodesulfobacteriota; Syntrophorhabdia; Syntrophorhabdales; Syntrophorhabdaceae.